Molecule: ribosomal RNA, 2906 nt
Filed under: Escherichia coli
Lineage: Bacteria; Pseudomonadati; Pseudomonadota; Gammaproteobacteria; Enterobacterales; Enterobacteriaceae
Also listed under: 2 other names
Description: 23S ribosomal RNA
Rfam family: Bacterial large subunit ribosomal RNA
Source: RNAcentral
GGUUAAGCGACUAAGCGUACACGGUGGAUGCCCUGGCAGUCAGAGGCGAUGAAGGACGUGCUAAUCUGCGAUAAGCGUCGGUAAGGUGAUAUGAACCGUUAUAACCGGCGAUUUCCGAAUGGGGAAACCCAGUGUGAUUCGUCACACUAUCAUUAACUGAAUCCAUAGGUUAAUGAGGCGAACCGGGGGAACUGAAACAUCUAAGUACCCCGAGGAAAAGAAAUCAACCGAGAUUCCCCCAGUAGCGGCGAGCGAACGGGGAGCAGCCCAGAGCCUGAAUCAGUGUGUGUGUUAGUGGAAGCGUCUGGAAAGGCGUGCGAUACAGGGUGACAGCCCCGUACACAAAAAUGCACAUGCUGUGAGCUCGAUGAGUAGGGCGGGACACGUGGUAUCCUGUCUGAAUAUGGGGGGACCAUCCUCCAAGGCUAAAUACUCCUGACUGACCGAUAGUGAACCAGUACCGUGAGGGAAAGGCGAAAAGAACCCCGGCGAGGGGAGUGAAAAAGAACCUGAAACCGUGUACGUACAAGCAGUGGGAGCACAGAGCAAUCUGUGUGACUGCGUACCUUUUGUAUAAUGGGUCAGCGACUUAUAUUCUGUAGCAAGGUUAACCGAAUAGGGGAGCCGAAGGGAAACCGAGUCUUAACUGGGCGUUAAGUUGCAGGGUAUAGACCCGAAACCCGGUGAUCUAGCCAUGGGCAGGUUGAAGGUUGGGUAACACUAACUGGAGGACCGAACCGACUAAUGUUGAAAAAUUAGCGGAUGACUUGUGGCUGGGGGUGAAAGGCCAAUCAAACCGGGAGAUAGCUGGUUCUCCCCGAAAGCUAUUUAGGUAGCGCCUCGUGAAUUCAUCUCCGGGGGUAGAGCACUGUUUCGGCAAGGGGGUCAUCCCGACUUACCAACCCGAUGCAAACUGCGAAUACCGGAGAAUGUUAUCACGGGAGACACACGGCGGGUGCUAACGUCCGUCGUGAAGAGGGAAACAACCCAGACCGCCAGCUAAGGUCCCAAAGUCAUGGUUAAGUGGGAAACGAUGUGGGAAGGCCCAGACAGCCAGGAUGUUGGCUUAGAAGCAGCCAUCAUUUAAAGAAAGCGUAAUAGCUCACUGGUCGAGUCGGCCUGCGCGGAAGAUGUAACGGGGCUAAACCAUGCACCGAAGCUGCGGCAGCGACGCUUAUGCGUUGUUGGGUAGGGGAGCGUUCUGUAAGCCUGCGAAGGUGUGCUGUGAGGCAUGCUGGAGGUAUCAGAAGUGCGAAUGCUGACAUAAGUAACGAUAAAGCGGGUGAAAAGCCCGCUCGCCGGAAGACCAAGGGUUCCUGUCCAACGUUAAUCGGGGCAGGGUGAGUCGACCCCUAAGGCGAGGCCGAAAGGCGUAGUCGAUGGGAAACAGGUUAAUAUUCCUGUACUUGGUGUUACUGCGAAGGGGGGACGGAGAAGGCUAUGUUGGCCGGGCGACGGUUGUCCCGGUUUAAGCGUGUAGGCUGGUUUUCCAGGCAAAUCCGGAAAACUAAGGCUGAGGCGUGAUGACGAGGCACUACGGUGCUGAAGCAACAAAUGCCCUGCUUCCAGGAAAAGCCUCUAAGCAUCAGGUAACAUCAAAUCGUACCCCAAACCGACACAGGUGGUCAGGUAGAGAAUACCAAGGCGCUUGAGAGAACUCGGGUGAAGGAACUAGGCAAAAUGGUGCCGUAACUUCGGGAGAAGGCACGCUGAUAUGUAGGUGAAGCGACUUGCUCGUGGAGCUGAAAUCAGUCGAAGAUACCAGCUGGCUGCAACUGUUUAUUAAAAACACAGCACUGUGCAAACACGAAAGUGGACGUAUACGGUGUGACGCCUGCCCGGUGCCGGAAGGUUAAUUGAUGGGGUCAGCGCAAGCGAAGCUCUUGAUCGAAGCCCCGGUAAACGGCGGCCGUAACUAUAACGGUCCUAAGGUAGCGAAAUUCCUUGUCGGGUAAGUUCCGACCUGCACGAAUGGCGUAAUGAUGGCCAGGCUGUCUCCACCCGAGACUCAGUGAAAUUGAACUCGCUGUGAAGAUGCAGUGUACCCGCGGCAAGACGGAAAGACCCCGUGAACCUUUACUAUAGCUUGACACUGAACAUUGAGCCUUGAUGUGUAGGAUAGGUGGGAGGCUUUGAAGUGUGGACGCCAGUCUGCAUGGAGCCGACCUUGAAAUACCACCCUUUAAUGUUUGAUGUUCUAACGUUGACCCGUGAUCCGGGUUGCGGACAGUGUCUGGUGGGUAGUUUGACUGGGGCGGUCUCCUCCUAAAGAGUAACGGAGGAGCACGAAGGUUGGCUAAUCCUGGUCGGACAUCAGGAGGUUAGUGCAAUGGCAUAAGCCAGCUUGACUGCGAGCGUGACGGCGCGAGCAGGUGCGAAAGCAGGUCAUAGUGAUCCGGUGGUUCUGAAUGGAAGGGCCAUCGCUCAACGGAUAAAAGGUACUCCGGGGAUAACAGGCUGAUACCGCCCAAGAGUUCAUAUCGACGGCGGUGUUUGGCACCUCGAUGUCGGCUCAUCACAUCCUGGGGCUGAAGUAGGUCCCAAGGGUAUGGCUGUUCGCCAUUUAAAGUGGUACGCGAGCUGGGUUUAGAACGUCGUGAGACAGUUCGGUCCCUAUCUGCCGUGGGCGCUGGAGAACUGAGGGGGGCUGCUCCUAGUACGAGAGGACCGGAGUGGACGCAUCACUGGUGUUCGGGUUGUCAUGCCAAUGGCACUGCCCGGUAGCUAAAUGCGGAAGAGAUAAGUGCUGAAAGCAUCUAAGCACGAAACUUGCCCCGAGAUGAGUUCUCCCUGACUCCUUGAGAGUCCUGAAGGAACGUUGAAGACGACGACGUUGAUAGGCCGGGUGUGUAAGCGCAGCGAUGCGUUGAGCUAACCGGUACUAAUGAACCGUGAGGCUUAACCUU